CGCGUAGGCGGUCUUGUCAGUCCCUUGUGAAAUCCCCCGGCUCAACUGGGGAACUGCAAGGGAAACAGCAGGGCUUGAGUUCGGGAGAGGGAAGCGGAAUUCCGGGUGUAGCGGUGAAAUGCGUAGAUAUCCGGAGGAACACCGGUGGCGAAGGCGGCUUCCUGGACCGACACUGACGCUGAGGCGCGAAAGCUAGGGGAGCAAACG
Molecule: ribosomal RNA, 207 nt
Filed under: uncultured bacterium
Lineage: Bacteria
Description: partial 16S ribosomal RNA
Rfam family: Bacterial small subunit ribosomal RNA
Source: RNAcentral